AGACACUGCAGGGGCAGUGAUGGAUGUGAAGGCUGGGGAGGCUGGGGGCCUGAGAGUCUCACCGGCUUUGCCUUCUCGUAGAUAGGCAGGCUCCAGGGAUGCUGCCGCUCUUUCACCAGCACUCUCUGCCCACCAGAGCCCUUCUUCCUUGGGCGAUCAGUCCUAAAGCCGCCAUUUGCACGUGAAUCUCUGAGCAACCCUGGACCUGUCUGGAGCCCUUUCGAUUAUCACAUUAGGGGGCUCGGCAUAUGGUGCCCUCCUCAGCAAGACAGAUCCAAAGCCUGCACUCUGAAACAAGAAGCAGGCGGGGUUGAGGAGAAGGGCCUGCAUUCAUUCAUUGCCAUGACAUUCCACGCCGGGCUGCUUUGGAGGCAAAGAGUUGAAAAGAACACAAGCCCAGCAAAGAAGAGAGACUUCAGGGAGAGGCCAGUGCAGGUGUGGUGGCGAGGGCCAGAGGACGUCAUGGGCUCAUGAGUUCUUCCUAAACAUUGAAGGGUCUUCGUCAUGGGCCCUAAUUCUCUGGGGAAUCUGUGAUCUCCUGGAUGUCUGUGAAUCCCCUCUAGGGGCAGAUUGGAGCCUUUCUAUCCUAUUGGGCAAUCUUCAGAGGUCUGUAUCAGACUCUAAAUCUCCAUCAUCUAAGAGAGAAUCUGAUGUAGAAGUGCCCUCUGAAAGUGGAGGUCAGUCCUCAUUCACACCUCCCCCUCCUGUGGUCUGCUUUCCUAUGACCUCCCGAAGUUUAGGAGGUCAGAGAGGAAUUCAUGCCCUUGGAACCAUCCUUACUUCCUUACAUUCCAUGGCUAUGAAAAGCUCAUGCCCCAUAGGUCCACUUGCACUUUCCCCACACAUUAGCUGUGUAGGAUUUAAGAUACCCUCUUCUGAUGCAUCUAAUGGUAGCCAUCUCUAGGGUGGGCUAGGGAGGGAAGAAAAAAAAGGAGGAGAAAGGGGGAAAAAGAAAUUUAC
Molecule: long non-coding RNA, 960 nt
Filed under: Phascolarctos cinereus (koala)
Lineage: Eukaryota; Metazoa; Chordata; Mammalia; Diprotodontia; Phascolarctidae
Description: lncRNA (ENSPCIG00000034519.1)
Source: RNAcentral